Molecule: ribosomal RNA, 635 nt
Filed under: uncultured bacterium
Lineage: Bacteria
Description: bacterial SSU rRNA
Rfam family: Bacterial small subunit ribosomal RNA
Source: RNAcentral
UGGCUCAGGAUGAACGCUAGCGGCAGGCCUAAUACAUGCAAGUCGAACGGCAACCGGCAGCAAUGCUGGUGAGAGUGGCGGACGGGCGCGUAACGCGUAUGCAACCUACCUUACGGCGGGGGAUAGCCUGGAGAAAUCCAGAUUAAUACCCCAUGAGACCACGCCCCGGCAUCGGGGAGGGGUCAAAGAUUUAUCACCGUAAGAUGGGCAUGCGUGACAUUAGCUAGUUGGCGGGGUAACGGCCCACCAAGGCUACGAUGUCUAGCUGGUCUGAGAGGAUGAUCAGCCACACUGGGACUGAGACACGGCCCAGACUCCUACGGGAGGCAGCAGUAGGGAAUAUUGGACAAUGGGCGAAAGCCUGAUCCAGCCAUGCCGCGUGAAGGAUGAAGGGCCUCUGGCUUGUAAACUUCUUUUGGCGGGGGAUAAACCACCACUACAAGUGGUGCUGAAGGUACCCGCAGAAUAAGCACCGGCUAACUCCGUGCCAGCAGCCGCGGUAAUACGGAGGGUGCAAGCGUUGUCCGGAUUUAUUGGGUUUAAAGGGUGCGUAGGCGGUACGCUAAGUCAGUGGUGAAAUCCUGGGGCUNCACCCCGGAAUUGCCAUAGAUACUGGCAUGCUUGAGUUCGACCGA